Long non-coding RNA from Vicia villosa (hairy vetch), 899 nucleotides. RefSeq lists it as uncharacterized. The record is from RefSeq and is a predicted model, not a curated record. The transcript is spliced from 3 exons. Lineage: Eukaryota; Viridiplantae; Streptophyta; Magnoliopsida; Fabales; Fabaceae.
CCUUAGCAAUAAAAACUAUGUUUUAGGUUAGCUCUCGUACAAUUAUUUCCCAGAAACCUUUUCUUCAAGCUCUCGUACAAUUUUUUGUCUUCAAAUUUGUUUUCAGAUUUGAUUUCCAAUUUCAUUCUUGUUUUCCCUCAUAAACCAAGUCUAAACAUAUUUUGAUUUUCACCUAAUAAUUUGAAUCGAUUUCCACCGUCGAAACCCAAAUCGGUUUUGACAUUCACCCCCAAAGUCGAUUUCGAAUUUGACCGUCAAAAUUGCUUUCGACUUUCAUCUCUAAAAUCGAAAUCGAUUCUACUUUAAUUUCUGAAAUCAAAACUAGUUUUCCUCAUAACCGAAAUCAAACUCCUGGAUCUGCCGAAAUUGAAAUUGUCGAGUUUGAAAUCAAAGUUCUUCUCUCAUUUUGUUACUACUUGUCCCAACUCCGAUGGACACCAUAUAUAUGAUCCAACCAAAGGAGAGAAAUGACAUCAAUGCAGAAAUGUACCAAUGAAAAAGAUGAUAUAGAGGAUUAAUUAUUUAAGUGGGCUAUGUGCGUGAAUGAUGAAUUUCAAGAGGACAAGUUUGAUGAUGAUUUCAUGAGGACAACGUAGUUGACAAAGAGUUCUAAGACAAAGAUGAAUGAGUUGGAUGGUUUUUUUAGAGAGGACAAGUUUGAUGAUGAUUUCAUGAGGACAACGUAGUUGACAAAGAGUUCUAAGACAAAAAUGAAUGAGUUGGAUGGUUUUUUUAGGCUUGUAUCAAUCAUUAAACUUUCAAAAAGUUAUAUCUUUUUUCAAUACUGUUAGUCAUUUUUUUUACAAAUAUGUAUUUGAAUUAAUGUAUGAAUUCAACUUUGUUAACACUUUGUAACAUAUCUUAUUAUUGGGUUAUAAUUGAUUAUAGUUACUAAAUCA